AGAGUUUGAUCCUGGCUCAGGAUGAACGCCGGCGGUGUGCCUAAUACAUGCAAGUCGAACGCGUUGGUCCAAUUGACAACUGGUGCUUGCACCGGUUAGAUUUUGGUCGCCAACGAGUGGCGGACGGGUGAGUAACACGUAGGCAACCUGCCCAGAAGCGGGGGACAACAUUUGGAAACAGAUGCUAAUACCGCAUAACAACGUUGUUCGCAUGAACAACGUUUCAAAGAUGGCCUCUGGCUAUCACUUCUGGAUGGACCUGCGGUGCAUUAGCUUGUUGGUGGGGUAAUGGCCUACCAAGGCGAUGAUGCAUAGCCGAGUUGAGAGGCUGAUCGGCCACAAUGGGACUGAGACACGGCCCAUACUCCUACGGGAGGCAGCAGUAGGGAAUCUUCCACAAUGGGCGCAAGCCUGAUGGAGCAACACCGCGUGAGUGAAGAAGGGUUUCGGCUCGUAAAGCUCUGUUGUUAAAGAAGAACAUGCGUGAGAGUAACUGUUCACGCAUUGACGGUAUUUAACCAGAAAGUCACGGCUAACUACGUGCCAGCAGCCGCGGUAAUACGUAGGUGGCAAGCGUUAUCCGGAUUUAUUGGGCGUAAAGAGAGUGCAGGCGGUUUACUAAGUCUGAUGUGAAAGCCUUCGGCUUAACCGGAGAAGGGCAUCGGAAACUGGCUAACUUGAGUGCAGAAGAGGGUAGUGGAACUCCAUGUGUAGCGGUGGAAUGCGUAGAUAUAUGGAAGAACACCAGUGGCGAAGGCGGCUACCUGGUCUGUAACUGACGCUGAGACUCGAAAGCAUGGGUAGCGAACAGGAUUAGAUACCCUGGUAGUCCAUGCCGUAAAC
This 843-nucleotide ribosomal RNA is filed under the name uncultured bacterium. Its description in RNAcentral is "bacterial SSU rRNA". It matches the Rfam family "Bacterial small subunit ribosomal RNA", at positions 8 to 807 of the family's 1533-position model. The record is from RNAcentral.